UUUUCCUAGUAAUGAUACAUGCUCCUCUUUACAGUGGUGUUUAAUGACAUUCGUGACAAAAGGUAAAUUUUUUAUGAGUUUAUAAGUUUACAAAAUGUUACUACUAAUAGGUUAUUAAGUUAUUGAUAACUUAAAAAAGAACAAAUGAUAAUAAUGAUUUAACCAAGAAUAAAGAACAAGGUAAGUAAGGCAGAAGCAGUUUAUGACAACAUACAAGAUAAACAAAAAAAAAAUAUUUAAACAUCAAUUAUGAUGUGAUACAAGAUUUGGAAGUUAUACAUAUAUGAAGAUACAAGUGAUUCAAUGUAGUCAUUUGUAGCAAUAGAGUGCAAGGAAAAACAUAUUUUAUAAUAUCUAAGAAAACAACAAAGAUAUUAACAGAAACAUUAAUAUACAUAUAAGAAGAAUAUAGAAAUAAAUAUAUAAAGAUGAUCAUAUCAUCAUCAUAUCAUAUC
This 455-nucleotide unclassified non-coding RNA is filed under the name Bombus terrestris (buff-tailed bumblebee). Its description in RNAcentral is "misc RNA ENSBTSG00005034801.1". The record is from RNAcentral. Lineage: Eukaryota; Metazoa; Arthropoda; Insecta; Hymenoptera; Apidae.